CGCGUAGGCGGCCAAUUAAGUCAAAUGUGAAAUCCCCGAGCUUAACUUGGGAAUUGCAUUCGAUACUGGUUGGCUAGAGUGUGGGAGAGGAUGGUAGAAUUCCAGGUGUAGCGGUGAAAUGCGUAGAGAUCUGGAGGAAUACCGAUGGCGAAGGCAAUCCCCUGGACCUGUACUGACGCUCAUGCACGAAAGCGUGGGGAGCAAACAGGAUUAGAUACCCCUGUA
This 225-nucleotide ribosomal RNA is filed under the name uncultured Acinetobacter sp. RNAcentral describes it as "partial 16S ribosomal RNA". It matches the Rfam family "Bacterial small subunit ribosomal RNA", at positions 568 to 792 of the family's 1533-position model. Lineage: Bacteria; Pseudomonadati; Pseudomonadota; Gammaproteobacteria; Moraxellales; Moraxellaceae. The record is from RNAcentral.